This 301-nucleotide ribosomal RNA is filed under the name uncultured bacterium. Its description in RNAcentral is "partial 16S ribosomal RNA". It matches the Rfam family "Bacterial small subunit ribosomal RNA", at positions 509 to 807 of the family's 1533-position model. The record is from RNAcentral.
CAGUCGCCACGGUAAUACGUAGGGUGCAAGCGUUAAUCGGAAUUACUGGGCGUAAAGCGUGCGCAGGCGGUUCGUUAAGACAGAUGUGAAAUCCCCGGGCUUAACCUGGGAACUGCAUUUGUGACUGGCGGGCUAGAGUAUGGCAGAGGGGGGUAGAAUUCCACGUGUAGCAGUGAAAUGCGUAGAGAUCUGGAGGAAUACCGAUGGCGAAGGCAGCCAUCUGGCCUAAUACUGACGCUGAGGUACGAAAGCAUGGGGAGCAAACAGGAUUAGAUACCCCUGUAGUCCCUGUCUCUUAUAC